GACGGAGGAUGCAAGUGUUAUCCGGAAUCACUGGGCGUAAAGCGUCUGUAGGUGGUUCAAUAAGUCAACUGUUAAAUCUUGAGGCUCAACUUCAAAAUCGCAGUCGAAACUAUUGGACUCGAGUAUAGUAGGGGUAAAGGGAAUUUCCAGUGGAGCGGUGAAAUGCGUAGAGAUUGGAAAGAACACCGAUGGCGAAGGCACUUUACUGGGCUAUUACUAACACUGAGAGACGAAAGCUAGGGUAGCAAAUGGG
Molecule: ribosomal RNA, 253 nt
Filed under: uncultured bacterium
Lineage: Bacteria
Description: partial 16S ribosomal RNA
Rfam family: Bacterial small subunit ribosomal RNA
Source: RNAcentral